Long non-coding RNA from Phyllopteryx taeniolatus (common seadragon), 1269 nucleotides. RefSeq lists it as uncharacterized. The transcript is spliced from 4 exons. NCBI's taxonomy places the organism in Eukaryota, Metazoa, Chordata, Actinopteri, Syngnathiformes, Syngnathidae. The record is from RefSeq and is a predicted model, not a curated record.
GUUGGCGCUGUGUACCACAAAGAGUUGUAAUCCACAUUUAUUAGAAGAAGAAGAAGAAGAAGAAUCGCCACAGAAGAAGAGGAUUUACCCCAGAGCCAAUCUACGACGUCAUUCUAAAGAGAAAGAGCGGGCGCAUUGUGUGGCUCCGGCAUCAGGUCUUGGCUCCUCGCGACAUGGGACACGUCACUUCCGGCUCACAGCCUGCUCAUCUCGGCAUAUUGAGGCAUAUUCGACUUGCUGCUCAUUCCACGACAUCAUCGGUUUGCAUGGUGAGAGGACACAUGGGGAUCUUCUCUUGUCCCCGUGGUUGCUGUUCCGGCAUCUGUGGAGAAAUACUUCAAGAUAGAUGCAGACAGCAGAAUCUGUCCAAGCAUGUUCUACUGUACCGCCCGAGAGAAAACCACAUGAUGCAGCUCUAAAUAUUCCACUUCCAGCUGGCAUUCACUUAUAUAGUUAUUUGUUUUCUGUUGAAGCACAUGACAUUUGUUCAGUUGGGCCUACUUAUUUACAAUAAAGCAUGCACAGAGAAUACGUUGUUUUCUUACAAUUAGACUAAUAAAUACUGUAGAAUGCAAGCAUUUUGAACUAUAUGAGUUGUACAAAUUUGAAGUGAUGUUUGUCAUUGAUGAAUUGUAGCUAUUCCUUUUUAAAAGGUUAGUGACUCAAAUUUUGAAGUGGUUAUUUUCAAACUGAUACAAGACAGUUACUUACAAUACAUGGUGUUUUGCUCCAGUCUCGAACACUGUCCUGAGACAAAAAUAGAAGAGCAAGUAUGGCGACGAGAGCGGUGAAAGAGAAUGGUGAUAAAAAGUUACUUUCCACUGGAAAUAAUGAUAAAAAUGAUGUUAAUUAUAACCAAAGCUGUUUCAGAGCAAAUUUGAUUUAUAUCUGAGGCCAAAAGGUGUCUGUGUAACUCACUCUACUUCUAGGGCUCCAGUCCAAUGGAAGCCGCUAAAAAAUACAUUUGUGGAUACCUUAUGUAUCUAUUGUUCUACAACCCCAAUUCCAAUGAAGUUGGGACGUUGUGUUAAACAUAAAUAAGAAGAGAAUACAAUGAUUUGCAAAUCAUGUUCGACCUAUAUUUAAUUGAAUACACUACAAAGACAAGAUAUUUAAUGUUCAAACUGAUAAACUUGAUUGUUUUUAGCAAAUAAUCAUUAACUUCGACUUUUAUGGCUGCAACACGUUCCAAAAAAGCUGGGACAGGGUCAUGUUUACCACUGUGUUACAUCACCUUUUCUUUUAACAACAUUCAAUAAACGUUUGGGA